UCCACGCGGACAAAGACGCGGCAUAGGCUAAUAUUACCUUAAAACUUAAAGCUAGCCUUAUUACUAUACAAAUCAUGCCCGCGUGGAAUGGUGCCAAGAAUACUGGCUGCAUUUCCGCGCCGGAAAGCCAGGCUGAUCCGCUGCGC
Molecule: long non-coding RNA, 146 nt
Organism: Maniola jurtina (meadow brown)
Lineage: Eukaryota; Metazoa; Arthropoda; Insecta; Lepidoptera; Nymphalidae
Exons: 3
Source: RefSeq, a predicted model, not a curated record